This 640-nucleotide ribosomal RNA is filed under the name uncultured Cyanobacterium sp. Its description in RNAcentral is "bacterial SSU rRNA". It matches the Rfam family "Bacterial small subunit ribosomal RNA", at positions 108 to 774 of the family's 1533-position model. The record is from RNAcentral. Lineage: Bacteria; Bacillati; Cyanobacteriota; Cyanophyceae; Chroococcales; Geminocystaceae.
GAGUAACACGUGAGAAUUUGCCUUUAGGAGGGGAAUAACAAUUGGAAACGAAUGCUAAUACCCCAUAUGCUUUUAAUAAGUGAAAUGGAUUUAUCCGCCUAGAGAGAAGCUUGCGGCUGAUUAGCUUGUUGGUAAGGUAAAGGCUUACCAAGGCGACGAUCAGUAUCUGGUUUGAGAGGACGAUCAGACACACUGGAACUGAGACACGGUCCAGACUCCUACGGGAGGCAGCAGUGGGGAAUUUUCCGCAAUGGGCGAAAGCCUGACGGAGCAAUACCGCGUGAGGGAAGAAUGCCUAUGGGUUGUAAACCUCUUUUUUCAGGGAGGAAUAAAAUGACGUGUACCUGAAGAAUAAGCAUCGGCUAACUCCGUGCCAGCAGCCGCGGUAAGACGGAGGAUGCAAGUGUUAUCCGGAAUCACUGGGCGUAAAGCGUCUGUAGGUUGCUUAAUAAGUCAACUGUUAAAUCUUGAGGCUUAACCUCAAAAUCGCAGUUGAAACUAUUAGACUAGAGUAUAGUAUAGGUAAAGGGAAUUUCCAGUGGAGCGGUGAAAUGCGUAGAUAUUGGAAAGAACACCAAUGGCGAAGGCACUUUACUGGGCUAUUACUGACACUCAGAGACGAAAGCUAGGGUAGCAAAUG